CCACGAAAAUAGGACACUGGGAACCUGAAGAAAGAGAAUCUUUGAGGCUUGGGUCCACACUACGUGCUUUCACACGGCGACUCCCGCGUUUAUAAGCCCGCCCUCCGCCUCCGGUCGGUUCACUGUCCACAGAACCCCAACAACCAAGGUCGAUCUUCACUCCCAAUUAUCGGAAAAAAUAUUCCGGCGAUGGCGGCCCGGGGAACAGUUGUCUUCACGUCCGUUGGGCGACCAACUUACGGUUUCGACGUCUUCUGCAUUGGGGUCUCGCCUGAGUGCGGUACCGUUCGAGAACUGGUCGACUACCGGUUGACGGACGGCAUCUCCGUUAAUUACAACGGCCAAUUCAUGGAUGACCAUCAAACCGUUGUCUUCGUCUCGGAGAGAGGCGGCGCGGCCGAGAUCUUUCGUACCUCAUCGGCGGAUUCCCUGGCCGAGAAUUUUCGGGUUCACCGGAUCACGGCGCUACCCGAGAGCCCCUUUCUCGAUCGCCCGACGGUAAAAAAUGGGACAUUGUACUUUGUUUCGAGCCACGAGGACGCCGACAGACCGUUCAAGAGCUGUUCAGCGGUUUACUCGAUGCCGAUCGAUGGCGGGAAAGUCACUCGCCUAAGCCCGCCAGGAGUCGUCGACUACAGCCCCGCGAUUUCUCAGGCGGGCAGAUGGAUUGCCGUUGCUUCUUACGGUUCUGGCGAAUGGAAGGGCGACUUUCACGAGAUAGCGACAGAGAUAGUGGUUUUGCAGACGGAAAACCCUACUGACCGGGUGGUGAUCUCUGGCGGAGGCUGGCCGACAUGGUCCGGCGACUCUACCCUGUUCUUCCAUCGCAAGUGCGACGACGGAUGGUGGAGCAUAUUUCGAGUGGAUUUGCCGGAAAAGCUCAACGAGUCCAUGCCCUCGCCAAUGAUUCCUGAACCGAAGAGGAUCACUCCUCCGGGGUUCCACGCUCUGACACCGGCCGCCUCUCACUCCGGAAAAUGGAUUGCGAUCGCGACACGUAGACCGGAAACGAAGUUCCGGCACGUCGAGAUGCUCAAUUUGGAAACGGGAAGCUUCACACGAGUGACGGAAUCCACAAGCCCUGGCCUCCACCACUACAACCCCUUCGUCUCGCCCUCAUCCGAGUUUGUGGGCUACCAUCGUUUCAGAGGCGAGUCGGUGUCCGGCGACACCAUCAUUCCUGAGCUCGAGAGAGUUCGAUCCCCAAUACCUGAUCUGAGAAUGCUCCGCCUCACCGGAGCGUUUGCCGCAUUCUCGCCGGACGGCAAAUACAUCGCUUUCAACCCCGAGUUUGAGGGGGUCACCGGCGUGCGCAUCCUGGAUUCCACCGGCCGGAGGCGGUGGACAGUAGUCAAAGAUAGGGUAGCGUUCUCCGUCGCAUGGAGCCCCAAGGAGAAAGGCGUUAUUUACACAUCCCUCGGUCCGAUUUUCGACUCUGCUAAAGCCACUGUCCAGAUCGCGCGGAUCUCCUUCAACCCGAUGGACCUCGACAACCGCGAAGAGGUCCCGGCGGCGGUUACGAUCUUAACACGUGUGGAAACCGGCAACAAUGCGUUUCCUUCGUGCUCGCCGGACGGCAGGUUCAUUGUCUUCCGGUCGGGCCGAUCGGGCAACAAGAACCUCUAUAUCGUUGACGCCGUGGAAGGCGAGGAUGGAGGCCAGGGAAUCCGGCAGCUGACGGAGGGCGAAUGGAUCGACACGAUGCCGAGUUGGUCCCCCGAUGGCAACUGGAUCGCCUUCUCCUCCAACCGGCACAACAUCCAGAACCCGGCCGCCUUCAGCAUCUACCUCAUCAGGCCAGACGGGUCGGACCUUCGCAGGGUCUACGUCGCCGGUGGUCCCGGCUCCAGCGAGGCGGACAGGGAGAGGAUCAACCACGUUUGCUUCAGCCCCGAUUCCAAGUGGCUGCUCUUCACCGCCAACAUGGGUGCCGUGUCUGCCGAGCCCGUGUCCUUUCCCAACCAGUUUCAGCCUUACGGCGAAAUCUUCCUCGCCAGAUUGGACGGAACGGGUCUUCGGAGGCUGACCUGCAAUGCUUACGAGAACGGAACGCCGGCGUGGCACGAUCACGGCGACUGGGGCCUUGAUGUCGAGUCCCUGACGUUGGACAAACUCGGCGACAAGCUCACCGGAAAAUUCGACGAGCCCUUGUGGUUAACCUGUUGAAUUAGUUAAUAUAAUUAGUCUUUUCCUACAAACUGUCUUAAACUUCAUCCUGCUAGAGAAUCUUGAAGCCCAUACGAGAAAAUGUCCAUUAUACAAACAAGUCCUACCUUUGAAAAGUCAGUCAUUUUACACAAAGGGCAUUAAUGCUGGAGUAGAGGCCGAGGAUGGAAAUGCAUCUCUUUCUGACCCAGUUUCAUGCACAUUUUAGUGCCAGCAAGUGCAUCUCUUUUGAAUAUAACAUUCUAUUGGAAGAUAGUGAAGACAACAAGCUGUCAGUUACAUCUUCUGGAGAUUUGAUUAUCACUUCAGACAUGAAGCGACGUGCAAUAUAUAAAAUGUCCAUAGCUGACUUUUUGGCACUCCUGAGUAAAAUAAAAUCAAUACACCAUGCUAUCUUUUUAAAUAUUGAGGUCUCAAGUGUGAUGCCUGAAGCUUGUAGUAGAUGGUUGAAGAGUUGAAACGGAAAUAAAUUCAUUAACCAUCGCUGUCCUGUUGGUGGCGAGGCUUUCGGAGCUUGUGGCAAACUGAGUAAUCUUCGAAAAUGCAAUGCAAAUCCUGUUGUGACUAAUGGUCUCCUUUUUAAUGGACAGGUUUCACAAGGAGCUGUUUGUUAUUGGUGAUCAAAGAGGGACUCUCGUUGCCUUCAUUCUGGGGGAAAACCCUAUGCAAUCUGCUGUAGAAGGGAGAGUUAGCUAAAAUAGCAAACAAGAAGUGAGCAACAAUCGCUUGUGGCUCUAUGUCAAGGAUGUUCUAGGGAGUGAGGACUCUACAAAAGUAUCUUUGGCCUGUUAAGACCAUCAGUGCCACCCCCCACACUCUCAUUUCUACUAAUAGCGAUAGAAUCUUGUGGGAGGCGAAAUAAAAUUCGGCAUAAUGUGUUAAUAUUAUUAAAGUCAAAGGUGUGCCUGCUUCUUGGAUGAGGGACGGCUACCCAACAACAUUUUUCACACUCUACAUUGCCCAAAACUCAUUCUCACGUAGUGGAGAUGAUGCAAAUGACAAAGGUCUCAGGAUUGAAGCUCAUUCACAAUCAUCACUUGUCUUAAAGGUGGUUGCUAGCUCUGGAUCAAGGUGAAAUUGGCAUCAGAGAAGAGGUAAUGGAUAACAUAUGUGAAUUGUUGCUUGUUUCAAUCGUCGGACAUGCUUAAAACGCCUUGCCGGCAUUUUCAAUUUAAUAAAAUGGGAGGGGAUCGAUACCUCGGAUGUCAUUACCCCUUGGAUGAGUCACAUGUCCAGCGCACCUGUUAGCUAAAAUUUGCAGAAUAUUUUUGUAGUGAAUCGUCCAUGGCUAUAGCGGUGAUAGUAAUGACUGAUAUACAAAGCAACAAGGUAAUUUCUUCGCCGUUGUAAGUCUAUAGCGAUGGCUUUCUUCGUCGGAAUUGAUCUUUUGUGGUUCUAUACAGUCGCCUCCACCGGUGAUCAAAAUCACCGGUAACAUUGAAAGGCUACAGUGGGGAACUUUAUCACCGCUAUAUAACUAUAACGGUGAUAAGCUUGACCGUUGUACGUCUAUACCGGUGAAUAUUGUCUUUUGUCCUCUUCCCUUACGUGCCGUUUAACAAACUUAA
Molecule: RNA transcript, 3734 nt
Organism: Nymphaea colorata (pocket water lily)
Lineage: Eukaryota; Viridiplantae; Streptophyta; Magnoliopsida; Nymphaeales; Nymphaeaceae
Exons: 6
Source: RefSeq, a predicted model, not a curated record